Molecule: transfer RNA, 74 nt
Filed under: Brassica oleracea var. oleracea
Lineage: Eukaryota; Viridiplantae; Streptophyta; Magnoliopsida; Brassicales; Brassicaceae
Rfam family: tRNA
About the family: Transfer RNA (tRNA) molecules are approximately 80 nucleotides in length. Their secondary structure includes four short double-helical elements and three loops (D, anti-codon, and T loops).
Source: Rfam by way of RNAcentral
GGGGAUGUAGCUCAGAUGGUAGAGCGCUCGCUUAGCACACGAGAGGUACGUGGAUCGAUAACCCCGCAUUUCCA